This 621-nucleotide ribosomal RNA is filed under the name Trichoderma sp. SQR582. RNAcentral's name for it is "eukaryotic LSU rRNA". The stretch from base 232 to 385 matches the Rfam family "5.8S ribosomal RNA". The record is from RNAcentral. Lineage: Eukaryota; Fungi; Ascomycota; Sordariomycetes; Hypocreales; Hypocreaceae.
UCCGUAGGGUGAACCUGCGGAGGGAUCAUUACCGAGUUUACAACUCCCAAACCCAAUGUGAACGUUACCAAACUGUUGCCUCGGCGGGAUCUCUGCCCCGGGUGCGUCGCAGCCCCGGACCAAGGCGCCCGCCGGAGGACCAACCAAAACUCUUUUUGUAUACCCCCUCGCGGGUUUUUUAUAAUCUGAGCCUUCUCGGCGCCUCUCGUAGGCGUUUCGAAAAUGAAUCAAAACUUUCAACAACGGAUCUCUUGGUUCUGGCAUCGAUGAAGAACGCAGCGAAAUGCGAUAAGUAAUGUGAAUUGCAGAAUUCAGUGAAUCAUCGAAUCUUUGAACGCACAUUGCGCCCGCCAGUAUUCUGGCGGGCAUGCCUGUCCGAGCGUCAUUUCAACCCUCGAACCCCUCCGGGGGGUCGGCGUUGGGGAUCGGCCCUGCCUCUUGGCGGUGGCCGUCUCCGAAAUACAGUGGCGGUCUCGCCGCAGCCUCUCCUGCGCAGUAGUUUGCACACUCGCAUCGGGAGCGCGGCGCGUCCACAGCCGUUAAACACCCAACUUCUGAAAUGUUGACCUCGGAUCAGGUAGGAAUACCCGCUGAACUUAAGCAUAUCAAUAAGCGGAGGAA